UCACUUGGUUUGCAGCACAACUUGGAAGCAACAAUUGCCAACAGCUGCAUUUAGCUCAUUUGUGACAUGGCCUGGUGGAAGAAGAAGGAUGUGUAUGCAGCGGAUGCCUAUGUCGUUGCCACUUGGCAUGCACCAAGUUUUCCAGGACC
Molecule: long non-coding RNA, 149 nt
Organism: Fundulus heteroclitus (mummichog)
Lineage: Eukaryota; Metazoa; Chordata; Actinopteri; Cyprinodontiformes; Fundulidae
Exons: 3
Source: RefSeq, a predicted model, not a curated record